Larimichthys crocea (large yellow croaker) is the source of this 671-nucleotide long non-coding RNA. RefSeq lists it as uncharacterized. The transcript has 4 exons. The record is from RefSeq and is a predicted model, not a curated record. Lineage: Eukaryota; Metazoa; Chordata; Actinopteri; Sciaenidae.
AAAGAACAGGAAGAAGAAGAAGAAGAAGAAGAAGAAGAAGAAGAAGAAAAAGAAGGAAAAGAAGAAGAAGAAGAAGCAUGAAUUACCUUGACCCCGACGAUGCCAUAUUCCUGGUUGAUGCGUUCCUGGAUGAGUGCAAGGUGGAUCAGCAUGGACACACAAAAGGAGGGUCAAAAAAAUCCACAAAUCUGUGUGUUUGGCUUGAUGAGGACAAAGAUGGUCAACCUCUGCCAAAAAGAUGUAGAGCUGGAGAGAAACGAAAGCGAGAUUCAGCCACGGUUUCUUCAGCAAGUGUAACACCCUCCUGUGCUCCGUCUACCGACACAACUGGAGAAACAGUGACCAUCGAAAAUUUAGAGUCCCUCAUUCAAGAUGUCCGAGACCUCUUGGGAAGUGGUGCGGAACAACCUCUCCCCUCACACUGGAGGAACAGGCAAACUUCCUCUCUGGAGAAUUGGACAGUGAUGAGGCCCUUCAUGGUGAACAAUAUGUUGUCAUCUGAGAAGCCGAAGGAGGGGGUUUGCCAUCAUUGUGGAAACAAGGCUGCAGUAGUGAUGUGUAAGGACUGUUUACCGCGAUCACUCUACUGCACAGCCUGUGACCUUUCCACACAUGAGGCCCUAGUGCUUCAUAACAGAGCAUCCAUGGUGGAGGGGUUCUUCAGACACCUG